UUCGCCAGCGCGUCCUGCACCACCGACUCCGCCUUCAAGCCGGUGACGCGCUCCCCGGGCCGGGUCGCUGAAACCAAAUCUGCAUUGGCUUCGAUACUUCUCAUGUGAUUUGAUUGGAGUUCGGAUGUCGCGACUGACCUCUUGGCAACCCAACGGGCGGCGCCUCGGAGAGUCGGAGCCUCGGAGCGGACUAGCCGGCGUGCAUCCUUGGC
RNAcentral lists this long non-coding RNA (212 nucleotides) under Setaria viridis. Its description in RNAcentral is "long non-coding RNA (SVIR_LNC003894)". Lineage: Eukaryota; Viridiplantae; Streptophyta; Magnoliopsida; Poales; Poaceae. The record is from RNAcentral.